RNAcentral lists this ribosomal RNA (427 nucleotides) under uncultured Candidatus Protochlamydia sp. RNAcentral describes it as "bacterial SSU rRNA". It matches the Rfam family "Bacterial small subunit ribosomal RNA", at positions 355 to 774 of the family's 1533-position model. The record is from RNAcentral. Lineage: Bacteria; Pseudomonadati; Chlamydiota; Chlamydiia; Parachlamydiales; Parachlamydiaceae.
UCGAGAAUCUUUCGCAAUGGGCGAAAGCCUGACGAAGCGACGCCGUGUGAGCGAAGAAGGCCUUCGGGUUGUAAAGCUCUUUCGCCUGGGAACAAGAGACCUAACCUAAUAAGUUGGGAAUUUGAGGGUACUAGGUAAAGAAGCACCGGCUAACUCCGUGCCAGCAGCUGCGGUAAUACGGAGGGUGCAAGCAUUAAUCGGAUUUAUUGGGCGUAAAGAGGGCGUAGGCGGAGAUGUAAGUCAGAUGUGAAAGCCCGGGGCUCAACCCCGGAACGGCAUUUGAAACUACACCUCUAGAGGAUAGGCGGAGAAAACGGAAUUCCACAAGUAGCGGUGAAAUGCGUAGAUAUGUGGAAGAACACCGGUGGCGAAGGCGGUUUUCUAGCUUAUUCCUGACGCUGAGGCCCGAAAGCAAGGGGAGCAAACA